Molecule: transfer RNA, 73 nt
Filed under: bacterium
Lineage: Bacteria
Description: tRNA-Arg
Rfam family: tRNA
About the family: Transfer RNA (tRNA) molecules are approximately 80 nucleotides in length. Their secondary structure includes four short double-helical elements and three loops (D, anti-codon, and T loops).
Source: RNAcentral
GUCCCUGUAGCUCAACUGGAAGAGCGGUUCCGUCCUAAGGAAAAGGUUGUAGGUUCGAGUCCUGCCAGGGACA